GCCCCGGUAGCUCAGUUGGAUAGAGCAUCGGACUUCUAAUCCGGCGGUCGCAGGUUCGAAUCCUGCCCGGGGCG
Molecule: transfer RNA, 74 nt
Filed under: Phycisphaerae bacterium
Lineage: Bacteria; Pseudomonadati; Planctomycetota; Phycisphaerae
Description: tRNA-Arg
Rfam family: tRNA
About the family: Transfer RNA (tRNA) molecules are approximately 80 nucleotides in length.
Source: RNAcentral